RNAcentral lists this ribosomal RNA (422 nucleotides) under uncultured Porphyromonadaceae bacterium. RNAcentral describes it as "bacterial SSU rRNA". It matches the Rfam family "Bacterial small subunit ribosomal RNA", at positions 355 to 774 of the family's 1533-position model. The record is from RNAcentral. Lineage: Bacteria; Pseudomonadati; Bacteroidota; Bacteroidia; Bacteroidales; Porphyromonadaceae.
UGAGGAAUAUUGGUCAAUGGGCGAGAGCCUGAACCAGCCAAGUCGCGUGAAGGAAGACGGUUCUAUGGAUUGUAAACUUCUUUUGUAAGGGAAUAAAAAAGAGUACGUGUACUUUCUUGUAUGUACUUUACGAAUAAGGAUCGGCUAACUCCGUGCCAGCAGCCGCGGUAAUACGGAGGAUCCAAGCGUUAUCCGGAUUUAUUGGGUUUAAAGGGUGCGUAGGCGGACCCAUAAGUCAGUGGUGAAAGUUUGCAGCUUAACUGUAAAAUUGCCGUUGAAACUGUGGGUCUUGAGUGUAAAUAAAGUAGGCGGAAUGUGUUGUGUAGCGGUGAAAUGCUUAGAUAUAACACAGAACACCAAUUGCGAAGGCAGCUUACUGGGAUACAACUGACGCUGAGGCACGAAAGCGUGGGGAUCAAACA